Molecule: ribosomal RNA, 851 nt
Filed under: uncultured bacterium
Lineage: Bacteria
Description: bacterial SSU rRNA
Rfam family: Bacterial small subunit ribosomal RNA
Source: RNAcentral
AGAGUUUGAUCCUGGCUCAGAAUCAACGCUGGCGGCGUGCCUAACACAUGCAAGUCGAACGAGAAAGUGGAGCAAUCCAUGAGUAAAGUGGCGCACGGGUGAGUAACACGUGACUAACCUACCCUUGAGUGGGGAAUAACCUGGAGAAAUCUAGGCUAAUACCGCAUAACACCUACGGGUCAAAGGAGCAAUUCGCUUAAGGAGGGGGUCGCGGCAGAUUAGCUAGUUGGCGGGGUAAUGGCCCACCAAGGCGGUGAUCUGUAUCCGGCCUGAGAGGGCGCACGGACACACUGGAACUGAAACACGGUCCAGACUCCUACGGGAGGCAGCAGUGGGGAAUUUUGCGCAAUGGGGGAAACCCUGACGCAGCAACGCCGCGUGGAGGGUGAAGUCCCUUGGGACGUAAACUCCUUUCGAUCGGGACGAUUAUGACGGUACCGGAAGAAGAAGCCCCGGCUAACUUCGUGCCAGCAGCCGCAGUAAUACGAGGGGGGCAAGCGUUGUUCGGAAUUAUUGGGCGUAAAGGGUGCGUAGGCGGUUCGGUAAGUCUUAUGUGAAAUCUUCAGGCUCAACUUGAAGUCUGCAUGAGAAACUGCCGGGCUUGAGUGUGGGAGAGGUGAGUGGAAUUUCCGGUGUAGCGGUGAAAUGCGUAGAUAUCGGAAGGAACACCUGUGGCGAAAGCGGCUCACUGGACCAUAACUGACGCUGAUGCACGAAAGCUAGGGGAGCAAACAGGAUUAGAUACCCUGGUAGUCCUAGCCCUAAACGAUGAUCGCUUGGUGUGACGGGUACCCAAUCCCGCCGUGCCGAAGCUAACGCGUUAAGCGAUCCGCCUGGGGAGUACGGUCGCA